This 508-nucleotide ribosomal RNA is filed under the name uncultured bacterium. RNAcentral's name for it is "bacterial SSU rRNA". It matches the Rfam family "Bacterial small subunit ribosomal RNA", at positions 8 to 526 of the family's 1533-position model. The record is from RNAcentral.
AGAGUUUGAUCCUGGCUCAGAAUGAACGUUGGCGGCGUGGAUUAGGCAUGCAAGUCGUACGGGCCGCAAGGCCAGUGGCGGAAGGGUGAGUAAGGCGACGGUAACCAACCCCGAAGAUGGGUAUAGCCGCGGGAAACUGCGGGUAAUCCCCAGCGACGCCUCGUGUCGGCAUCGACGUGAGGCCAAUGGUGUCAGUCCGCUUCGGGACGGGCCGUCGUGGUAUUAGCUAGUUGGCGGGGUAACGGCUCACCAAGGCUGCGAUGCCUACCGGGUGUGCGAGCAUGGCCCGGCACACUGGGCCGGAGACACUGCCCAGACACCGACGGGGGGCUGAAGUUGGGAAUCUUCGGGAAUGGGCGCAAGCCUGACCGAGGGAGGUCGCGUGGGGGAUGAAGGCCUUCGGGUUGUAAACUCCUGUCGAGGGGGAGGAACGGCGUACGCAGACUACGUCUGGAAGGAUCCCUGGAGGAAGCACGGGCUAAGUUCGUGCCAGCCGCCGCGGUAAUUC